This 433-nucleotide ribosomal RNA is filed under the name uncultured bacterium. RNAcentral's name for it is "partial 16S ribosomal RNA". It matches the Rfam family "Bacterial small subunit ribosomal RNA", at positions 29 to 507 of the family's 1533-position model. The record is from RNAcentral.
AACGAACGCUGGCGGCAUGCCUAACACAUGCAAGUCGAACGAGACCUUCGGGUCUAGUGGCGCACGGGUGCGUAACGCGUGGGAACCUGCCCUUAGGUUCGGAAUAACUCCCCGAAAGGGGUGCUAAUAACGGAUAAUGUCUUCGGACCAAAGAUUUAUCGCCUUUGGAUGGGCCCGCGUUGGAUUAGCUAGUUGGUAGGGUAAAAGCAUACCAAGGCGACGAUCCAUAGCUGGUCUGAGAGGAUGAUCAGCCACACUGGGACUGAGACACGGCCCAGACUCCUACGGGAGGCAGCAGUGGGGAAUAUUGGACAAUGGGCGAAAGCCUGAUCCAGCAAUGCCGCGUGAGUGAUGAAGGCCUUAGGGUUGUAAAGCUCUUUUAACCGGGAUGAUAAUGACAGUACCGGGAGAAUAAGCUCCGGCUAACUCCGUG